GUGGGGGAUCCAUAUGCUACACUCGUGAGGGAUCCUUCCAACAAAGCAGAGGGGGUCAAAUGCUUUAAAGCAAGUGAAAAUGAGAUGUUUAAAAUUGCUUCCUUAAAUGUUGAAUCCCAAUCUGACUUUGUUGCCUAGUUGAACUAAAGAUAAGAGGAGUUCAACAGACUUUUGAAUUCACUGGAGAGAAAAAGAUAAG
Molecule: long non-coding RNA, 199 nt
Filed under: Elaeis guineensis (African oil palm)
Lineage: Eukaryota; Viridiplantae; Streptophyta; Magnoliopsida; Arecales; Arecaceae
Description: long non-coding RNA (EGUI_LNC039954)
Source: RNAcentral